CAGUCGCCGCGGUAAUACGUAGGUGGCAAGCGUUGUCCGGAAUUAUUGGGCGUAAAGGGCUCGCAGGCGGUUUCUUAAGUCUGAUGUGAAAGCCCCCGGCUCAACCGGGGAGGGUCAUUGGAAACUGGGAAACUUGAGUGCAGAAGAGGAGAGUGGAAUUCCACGUGUAGCGGUGAAAUGCGUAGAGAUGUGGAGGAACGCCAGUGGCGAAGGCGACUCUCUGGUCUGUAACUGACGCUGAGGAGCGAAAGCGUGGGGAGCGAACAGGAUUAGAUACCCCCGUAGUCCCUGUCUCUUAUAC
RNAcentral lists this ribosomal RNA (301 nucleotides) under uncultured bacterium. RNAcentral's name for it is "partial 16S ribosomal RNA". It matches the Rfam family "Bacterial small subunit ribosomal RNA", at positions 509 to 807 of the family's 1533-position model. The record is from RNAcentral.